CACGUAGGGUGCGAGCGUUGUCCGGAAUUAUUGGGCGUAAAGAGCUCGUAGGCGGUGUGUCGCGUCGGCCGUGAAAACCUGCAGCUUAACUGUGGGCUUGCGGUCGAUACGGGCAUCACUGGAGUUCGGCAGGGGAGACUGGAAUUCCUGGUGUAGCGGUGAAAUGCGCAGAUAUCGGGAGGAACAUCAGUGGCGAAGGCGGCUGCCUGGCCCAAUACUGACACUCAGGUGCGACAGCGUGGGGAGCAAACAGG
This 254-nucleotide ribosomal RNA is filed under the name uncultured bacterium. Its description in RNAcentral is "partial 16S ribosomal RNA". It matches the Rfam family "Bacterial small subunit ribosomal RNA", at positions 524 to 776 of the family's 1533-position model. The record is from RNAcentral.